This is a non-coding RNA of Podarcis lilfordi (Lilford's wall lizard), 2883 nucleotides long. The record is from the annotation of a GenBank genome assembly. Lineage: Eukaryota; Metazoa; Chordata; Lepidosauria; Squamata; Lacertidae.
AAAGAAAAUGUUUAAAAAUACAUUUGUUAAAAAACCAGAAGCCUGCCUUUUAGGUUUAAUCAGGAAGUGCCAAGAGAGGAUAAAAGACUUUUUAUGUAUGCAGUGGUGGUGGCAAGAAUGUUAUUAACCCAAAGAUUGAAAGCAUUGCCAACAAAGGAAGAAUGGCAGACAAAAUUGAUGGACUAUGCAGAAAUGGCGAAACUGACGGGGAAGAUCAGAAACCAAGAUGACCAAAUACUUGUAGAGUGUGGGGUAAAUUUGUAGUUUAUUUAAAAAACACAAUUUAAACAGUUAAAAUCAUUGGCAGCAUUAUAAUGACAUUUGUAAUGUGAAAUUGAUUGUGAUAAAUUAGGAAUACAUAAUAGUUGGGAAAAGUGUAAGAUGCAAAAAAUUAAUUUUUAAGAUUUAAGAACCCAUGGGAGGGAGGGAAGUCAGAAGGUUCAGAGGACCUUGUUAUUGGAUAUAUGUGUGAGAGAUAAGAUGUAUAAAACUGGAAACUAAUAAAAAAAUCAUUUAAAAAAAUAUAUGUGUUGGUGCUGACCUUUAAAGCCCUAAACGGCUUCCGCCCAGUAUGCCUGAAGGAGCAUCUCCACCCCCAUCAUUGAGCCCAGACACUGAGGUCCAGCUCCGAGGGCCUCCUGGUGGUUCCCUCACUGCAAGAAACGAAGUUAUAGGGAACAAGGCUGAGGGCCUUCUUGGUAGUGGCACCCGCCCUGUGGAAACAAGCAACUAUCUGACUUUUAGAAGGCACUGAAAGCAGCCCUGUUUAGGGAAGUUUUAAAUGUCUGAUGUUUUAUUAUAAUUUUAAUUUCACUCAUUAAUACUCAGUGGAUUUUCCACGGUCAACAUUUGGUGUUUGGAAUCCAUUAUUAUUGGAAAUUGGACUUGGUUGCCAGUAGUUCCUCAUUCAUAUUAAAGUGGGGGUUUUUUUUGCGGGGGGUGUUGUAUGUUCACUAGGCAUUCAGACACCUCUUUAUUGUCAACAAAUUUUCCAUGGUGGUUUCUGACUAGGCAGAAACCAGAUCCCUUCUGGGUUCCCCUUGGCAAGGCCUGCAUCAUACGAGGCCAGUGUAACACGGAGCAGGGACUUCUGGGUGGCUGCCCCUGUUCUGUUCUGCAUUGCUAGGGGUUGGCCUUGUAUGAUACAGGAUUUGCCAAGGGGAACCCGAAAGGGAUCUGGUUUCUGCCUAGUCAGAAACCACCAUGGAAAGUUUGCCAAUAUCUAAAGGUGUCCAAACGCUUAGUGAACAUACAACACACACACACACACCCCGCGCUUUCAUAUGAAUGAGGAACUAGUGGCAACCAAGUCCAGUUUCCAAUAAUAAUGUGGUGGAGGCAGGGAUGGUGUCUCCAGUUCCCCGACAUGCUGGGUGCUUCCCCACAACAGGAAGUUAUUGAAGAGGAGCCGCUGGCAUCGCUCUGUCUUACACCAAGCGAUGGAAACCAUAAUCCACAUGACGUAAGUAUGGGGAGGUACUUCUAGUCUCCCUACAGCUUGUCACUGCCCCACCUAUUCCUGGCACCUCCCUUGCCAUACCCUGAAAUUGUACCCCUUGGCCAGGUACAGUGCACCCGGUUUAUUUCCUCCCCCCUUCUUUUUCUUUCUUCUUCAGUGCCCACUCUUCUCCCCUAGGAGGACCCACUUGGUGUGGUGGAGGCAGGGAUGGUGUCUCCAGUUCCCUGACAUGCUGUGUGCUUCCCCACAACAGGAGGUUAUCAAAGAGGAGCCGCUGGCAUCGCUCUCAGUCUUACACCAAGCGAUGGAAACCAUAAUCCGCAUGACUCAAGUACAGGGAGGUACUUCUAGUCUCCCUACAGCUUGUCACUGCCCCACCUAUUCCUGGCACCUCCCCUGCCAUACCCUGAAAUUGUACCCAUUCACCAGGCACUAUUUCAGUCCUCUGCAUCUCAGCGAGUAGGAAAAAAAAGAGAGGGGCAGGGCUUCCCCCAAAGCUGUAGUUUGUUAAGGGUGCUAAUAGUUGUUGGGAGACCCCCCCACCCCCUAAUUCUCCUCCCAGGGCUACAAUUCCCAGAGCUCCUGGGAAAGGAGGAUUGUUUGCUAAACCAAUCCUGGGACUUAGCUACAUUAGUCAAAUUAUGAUGUUUUAAAUGCAUUUUAACACUGUGGCACCAGAUAGUGUUGCAGAGCUGAAAUCGCAACUUGGUGAUAUACGUUAUAUGUAGGGCUGUAAAGGGAAGUUUUCUUUCAACCCAACAGGGCUGUCUCUGAAAACAGUUCAGACAUUUCAGUUAGUGCAGAAUUUGGCAGCAAGGUUGCUCAAGACGGUUUGAACAUCUUACACUGAUCCUGGCCUGACUGCACCAGCUGCCAAUUAGUUUCUGGAUCCAAGAGGAAGUCUCAGGUCCAGUUGCUCGUCUUGCCUGAACUGGUGCAGCGCCAGCCCACCAGGGUUCAGCCACUGACCAGCAGGGUAGAUGAUACAAAUAUUACAGAUGUAAGCUCCGAGAUUCAAAGAGCAAAGAGACAGUCAACAAAUACCUGAACUUGUUUCUGAGGUAUUUGCUUCUCAUCUACCAUGCUGGUCACUGCCUGAACCUUGGUGGGCUGGCACUGCACCAGUUCAGGCAAGACGAGCAACUGGACCUGAGUCUUGGCCUCCAAGUCCAGUUUCCAAUAAUAAUGGAUUGCAAACACCAAAUGUUGACUAUGGAAAAUCCACUGAGUAUUCAUGAGAGUGAAAUUCCAUUAUUACCCCCCUCUCUGCUGUGUGUUUGUGUGCCUCCACCUCAAUUUUGUAAAAUCCCUUCUCCUUUUAGAACUAGCUACUAGGCUAGAUGAACAAGUAGCCUGCACUGGCAGAAAUAAGUUUCCUGUGUUUCUAUAGGCAGCUAAAUCUCAAAGCAGAUUUAUGGAGGAUG